This 497-nucleotide ribosomal RNA is filed under the name uncultured bacterium. RNAcentral describes it as "partial 16S ribosomal RNA". It matches the Rfam family "Bacterial small subunit ribosomal RNA", at positions 28 to 507 of the family's 1533-position model. The record is from RNAcentral.
GACGAACGCUGGCGGCGUGCCUAAUACAUGCAAGUUGAGCGCUGAAGGUUGGUACUUUUACCGACUGGAUGAGCAGCUAACGGGUGAGUAACGCGUGGAGAAGCUUCCUUUGAGCGGGGGACAAUAAUGGGAAAAAAAUGAUGAUAACGCAUCAAACCUUUAAAAAGAGGUUUUAAGUUUGAUAGAGACAUUGCCAUCACUCAAGGAUGAUCCUGCGUUUCAUUAGAUAGUUGGGGAGGUAAAGGCCCACCAAGGCGAUGGUACAUAGCCGACCUGGGAGGGUGAUCGGCCACAUUGGGAAUGAGACACGGCCCAAACUCCUACGGGAGGCAGCAGUAGGGGAUCAUCGGAAAUGGACGAAAGGCUGACUGAGCAAAGCCGGGUGAGUGAAGAAGGUUUUCGGAUCGUAAAACCCUGUUGGUAGAGAAGAAAGUUGGUGAGAGUGGAAAGCUCAUCAAGUGACGGUAACUACACAGAAAGGGACGGCUAACUACGUG